RNAcentral lists this transfer RNA (71 nucleotides) under Bos taurus (domestic cattle). It matches the Rfam family "tRNA". Rfam says of the family: Transfer RNA (tRNA) molecules are approximately 80 nucleotides in length. Their secondary structure includes four short double-helical elements and three loops (D, anti-codon, and T loops). The record is from Rfam by way of RNAcentral. RNAcentral also lists the same sequence under 5 other names. Lineage: Eukaryota; Metazoa; Chordata; Mammalia; Artiodactyla; Bovidae.
UCCCAGGUGGCUCAGUGGCAAAGAAUCUGCCUGCCAAGCAGUAGACAUGGUUUCAAUCCCAUUCCUGGGUU